GUGAGCGUAGCCGAGCGGUCAAGGCAUCUGACUGUGGAUCAGAAGACCGCGGGUUCGAAUCCCGCCGCUCACCCCA
RNAcentral lists this transfer RNA (76 nucleotides) under Pseudomonadota bacterium. RNAcentral describes it as "tRNA-His". It matches the Rfam family "tRNA". From Rfam's summary of the family: Transfer RNA (tRNA) molecules are approximately 80 nucleotides in length. The record is from RNAcentral. RNAcentral also lists the same sequence under 4 other names. Lineage: Bacteria; Pseudomonadati; Pseudomonadota.